RNAcentral lists this ribosomal RNA (458 nucleotides) under uncultured Streptococcus sp. Its description in RNAcentral is "bacterial SSU rRNA". It matches the Rfam family "Bacterial small subunit ribosomal RNA", at positions 927 to 1382 of the family's 1533-position model. Lineage: Bacteria; Bacillati; Bacillota; Bacilli; Lactobacillales; Streptococcaceae. The record is from RNAcentral.
AAGCGGUGGAGCAGUGUGGUUUAAUUCGACGCAACGCGAAGUAACCUUACCGUGGGCUUGACAUCUGCGGAAUUUCUACGAAAGUUAGGAAGUGCCUUCGGGGAGCCGCAAGACAGGUGCUGCAUGGCUGUCGUCAGCUCGUGUCGUGAGAUGUUGGGUUAAGUCCCGCAACGAGCGCAACCCUUAUCUUUAGUUACCAUCAUUCAGUUGGGCACUCUAGCGAGACUGCCGGUAAUAAACCGGAGGAAGGUGGGAUGACGUCAAAUCAUCAUGCCCCUUAUGACCUGGGCUACACACGUGCUACAAUGGUUGGUACAACGAGUUGCGAGUCGGUGACGGCGAGCUAAUCUCUUAAAGCCAAUCUCAGUUCGGAUUGUAGGCUGCAACUCGCCUACAUGAAGUCGGAAUCGCUAGUAAUCGUGGAUCAGAAUGUCACGGUGAAUACGUUCCCGGGUCUU